Molecule: ribosomal RNA, 440 nt
Filed under: uncultured bacterium
Lineage: Bacteria
Description: partial 16S ribosomal RNA
Rfam family: Bacterial small subunit ribosomal RNA
Source: RNAcentral
CCUACGGGAGACAGCAGUGGGGAAUAUUGCACAAUGGGGGAAACCCUGAUGCAGCGACGCCGCGUGAAGGAAGAAGUAUUUCGGUAUGUAAACUUCUAUCAGCAGGGAAGAAAAUGACGGUACCUGACUAAGAAGCCCCGGCUAACUACGUGCCAGCAGCCGCGGUAAUACGUAGGGGGCAAGCGUUAUCCGGAUUUACUGGGUGUAAAGGGAGCGUAGGCGGUUUAGCAAGUCAGAAGUGAAAGCCCGGGGCUCAACUCCGGUACUGCUUUUGAAACUGUUGAACUAGAUGGCAGGAGAGGUAAGUGGAAUUCCUAGUGUAGCGGUGAAAUGCGUAGAUAUUAGGAGGAACACCAGUGGCGAAGGCGGCUUACGGGACUGUAAAUGACGCUGAGGCUCGAAAGCGUGGGGAGCAAACAGGAUUAGAUACCCGGGUAGUC